Molecule: long non-coding RNA, 1351 nt
Filed under: Homo sapiens (human)
Lineage: Eukaryota; Metazoa; Chordata; Mammalia; Primates; Hominidae
Description: long non-coding RNA NONHSAT161788.1
Source: RNAcentral
GUCCUCCCUCCCGACUCCCUAGCUCUCCCUCCCCUCGCUUUCAUCCUCCUAUCCCCACCUCUCCAACCUCCUCUUUCAUCCCCCUCCCCUCUCCUCUCCUCCCCGCUCCCGCCUGCCCCACCCCUGGGAAGCCCCUCCCGUCGGGCAGCGCCGCCUUAUAAGCGGGUUCCCUUCCCGGGGGCGGCAGCGGCUGGUCGGCGGCAGCUCUGCUGGUGCGGGGGCGGCGAGCCCGGGAUCGAGCUACCGCGGCCGAGCGCGCCGGCCACCGCCUGCACCGCCCUUCCGCCCGCCCUCCGGACGGCCGCAGCCCUGCGGGUCUCCGCUCCAGACCCACCCCCGCCCCACCCCGCGCGCCUCUGCCGCCUCUUCCAGAGACCCAGCUUGCCGAGCGGCCGCCGCUGCCGCUGUCGCCGCCGCCGCCGCCACCGCGCCAGGUUCCGGCCGCGGCCACCCUCCGCCGUCCAGGGCCCCUCCGUCUCGGCCCCGGGACCCCGGCUCCCCGCCAGCCCCGGCCCCGGCCCCGGCACCAUGUCGGAGAAAAGCGUGGAGGCAGCGGCCGAGUUGAGCGCCAAGGACCUGAAGGAGAAGAAGGAGAAGGUGGAGGAGAAGGCAAGCCGGAAAGAGCGAAAGAAAGAAGUGGUGGAGGUGUGGAGGGGAGGAGAACGGGGCUGAGGAGGAAGAAGAAGAAACUGCCGAGGAUGGAGAGGAGGAAGAUGAAGGGGAAGAAGAAGAUGAGGAAGAAGAAGAAGAGGAUGAUGAAGGGCCCGCGCUGAAGAGAGCUGCCGAAGAGGAGGAUGAAGCGGAUCCCAAACGGCAGAAGACAGAAAAUGGGGCAUCGGCGUGAGCCCCUGCCAACAGGCUGGGGUUGGGAGGCCUCUCUGGGCCUGGAGGUGGGGGUGGGGGCAGCCAAGUCCAGCCACUCUUCACCUGGCUCCCUGCUCUGGGCCCUGCACCAGAGCUGCCACCCUCUUCUUUCUCCCCAGCCUUCUCAUUUCCGCCUCUCCAGACACUGCGCCCUCCACCCUCACUCUGCCAUUGUUCCACCUCCUGACCUGCUCCAUCUGAGCUCUCCAGCUGGCCCCCAAUUGCUCCUCUCUCUCUUUGCUCUCUUUCUCCCUCCCCUACCAGCCUCAUUCUUCCUCCGGUAGCCUCUCCCACCUAACCUCUGCAUCCCCCAGCCUCAUGUCCUGCCCCAUCCCUAUCCUGCCUGAUCCCUGGAUCUCCCUCAGAUCCCCUCUUCUCAGACAGCGCCAGGCCGGGGUGGGGCCGGGGUUGGGGCCGAGCCCCACAGCUGCCCCCCUCCCCUCCCUUUUUGUAUAAUUUAAUAAAGAAAUGGUCGCGCUUCUGUUUU